UGAGUGUCCAGAGAAAUCAGAAGGCAGGGA
RNAcentral lists this non-coding RNA (30 nucleotides) under Homo sapiens (human). The record is from RNAcentral. Lineage: Eukaryota; Metazoa; Chordata; Mammalia; Primates; Hominidae.